Molecule: ribosomal RNA, 503 nt
Filed under: uncultured bacterium
Lineage: Bacteria
Description: partial 16S ribosomal RNA
Rfam family: Bacterial small subunit ribosomal RNA
Source: RNAcentral
AACGAACGCUGGCGGCACGUUUUAAGCAUGCAAGUCGAAUGGCAGCAGGGGCAACUCUGUGAGAAUGGCGAACGGGUGAGUAACACGUAGGUGAUCUGCCUUGAGGAUGGGGAUAGCCUGUGGAAACACAGGGUAAUACCGAAUAAGCUGACGGGACUUUGGUUUUGUUAGUAAAGGUGCUACGGCACCGCCUUGAGAGGAGCCUGCGGCUGAUUAGCUAGUUGGUGGGGGAAAGGCCUACCAAGGCGACGAUCAGUAGCCGGCCUGAGAGGGUGUACGGCAACACUGGGACGGAGACACGGCCCAGACUCCGACGGGAGGCAGCAGCUAAGAAUCGUCCGCAAUGGGCGAAAGCCUGACGGAGCGAUGCCGCGUGAUCGAUGAAGGUCGAGAGAUUGUAAAGAGCUGUUCUACAUGAGGAAUAAGUCUGGGAGGGAAUGCCUGGAUGAUGACGUUAGUGUAGGAAUAAGCCCCGGCUAAUUACGUGCCAGCAGCCGCCGUAA